Molecule: non-coding RNA, 136 nt
Organism: Hordeum vulgare subsp. vulgare (domesticated barley)
Lineage: Eukaryota; Viridiplantae; Streptophyta; Magnoliopsida; Poales; Poaceae
Source: Rfam
AAAAUACUCCCUCCGUUUAAAAAAAAUUGUCUUAGAUUUGUUUGAAUAUAAAUGUAUUUAAUCACGUUUUAGUAUUUUGAUACAUUCAUUUCUAGACAAACCUAAAAUAACAAUUUUGGGAUGGAGGGAGUAAAUA